This is a long non-coding RNA of Gallus gallus (chicken), 1506 nucleotides long. Lineage: Eukaryota; Metazoa; Chordata; Aves; Galliformes; Phasianidae. The record is from Ensembl.
ACACCCACGCCAGCUGUGUCUUUGCACUAAGCAAGGGUUGUAAGAGAUGUCCUAAGACCAACUACACAGAGUGUUUCCCAGGCUUUCUCCGAGCUUUGCAAGACCAACAGGCGCCCUCCAUCACAUGUCCUCUGCUGCUUUCUUCAUAUUGCCAUGCUGUCUUCAAAGGGCGCAUGGACAUCCAGGAGAUGGAUGCUCUGCAAAGCACCUAUGCCUGCAGGGAAAGCCGAAGGCGAAGAGCUGUGUCCUGGUGGCUAUUGCUUCUGUAACAACCACUCAGAUGAGAGAAGCUGAGAUCUUCCUGCUACCAUGGAAAGAAUCCUAGGGAAGAAGACCCAGGGAGAAGGGAGUUGAGAGGUGAGCUGUUCCAAUGAGUGCUGUGCGCCAUCACCAAUGCUUCAGAAGGAAGUAUGGCCUGCCCUCAGUCCUCCUCUGAGCCAACAAGAAAAUCAAAUAUACUAUUUUUAAAGGACUUCCCACGUUUUCCUCAGUGCCCCCGUGCUGCAGCUCUUCUUCAGGCUGGAAUGGUUGGGGUUCCUUCUGCAUCCAUCUGAUGUAGUGGCAUCUCAAAGGCUUUGCGCAGGUGAGAUGGGCACCAGGAGCAUGGGGGGCACAGGGGAAGCCAGGACACGAGUCACAAUCUGUACCUACAUGCUGAAUACGUACACAUGCACUGUAAUGCUGUGGUGCAAGAGCUCUGCUCUGAGCUUGGAUUGGAGCCCAGCAGCUUGGCUUCUCCCUAGAAGGAUGGCAAGGACCAGCUUUAAGCCAAGGAAAGAUUCAAAUGGGGAUGCUCAGCCAUCCAGCUGGUGGGCUGGGAGGGGGAAGCUGUGGUCCCUCCUGCUGUCUCCUGGCAGAUUUUAGAUUGGAUAUUAGAGAACAUUUCUUCUCUGAAAGGGCAGUGAUGCAGUGGCACAGAUGCCCAGGGAAUGGGAAGUUCUACAUCCCUGGAGGUGUUCAAGAAGCAUGGAGAUGUGGCACUGAAGGAUAUGGGCAGUGGGCAUGGUGUGGUGGGCUGGGGGUCUUAGAGGUCUUUUCCAAACACAGCAGUUGUAUGAUUCUAUGAUUGCCACGCUCAGAGCACACCACUGGUCCCCAGACACGAUCGCCUGUGCAUGGUCAUUGGGGACAUCUCUCUGUCAUUACUGCCACCUCAGGGAGGUGCUGGAGGGCACACCAUGACCACAAAGACUCAGGCUGCUCUGGAAAAACGUAGGAGCCUUGGUUGUUCCUUUCACAGAAGCUGUGCCAAAACCUGCUUAAAUUUCCCCAGGAGAUUGGUUGCCUCAGUAAAUGACUCAGCCUACGCCUGGGGCUAAUAGCCAAUAUACAGCUAUUAUUAAACUUUCGUGUUAUUUUGAAGGUAAACAGCAUUUUGAUUUGUUGUGGUUUUAAUUUAAAUUAAGGUCCGUAAUUGGAUAGUGCAGAGCAGCCUUCUGUUUCAGGAACAUGAUAGCAGUGAAUCUGUCUCCUCUCACAGAGCAGAGCCUUGCUCUUAUCUGCACU